CCGAGUUUACAACUCCCAAACCCCUGUGAACAUACCACUUGUUGCCUCGGCGGAUCAGCCCGCUCCCGGUAAAACGGGACGGCCCGCCAGAGGGACCCCUAAACUCUGUUUCUAUAUGUAACUUCUGAGUAAAACCAUAAAUAAAUCA
RNAcentral lists this unclassified non-coding RNA (148 nucleotides) under soil metagenome. RNAcentral's name for it is "partial internal transcribed spacer 1". The record is from RNAcentral.